Molecule: ribosomal RNA, 557 nt
Filed under: uncultured bacterium
Lineage: Bacteria
Description: bacterial SSU rRNA
Rfam family: Bacterial small subunit ribosomal RNA
Source: RNAcentral
CAUCCGCGUGAGUGAAGAAGGCCUUCGGGUUGUAAAGCUCUUUCGCAAGGGAAGAAAACUUAUGAUCGAAUAAAUCAUGAGGUUGACGGUACCUUGAUAAGAAGCACCGGCUAACUACGUGCCAGCAGCCGCGGUAAUACGUAGGGUGCGAGCGUUAAUCGGAAUUACUGGGCGUAAAGCGUGCGCAGGCGGUUUUGUAAGUCGGAUGUGAAAUCCCCGGGCUCAACCUGGGAACUGCGUUCGAAACUGCAAGGCUAGAGUGUGUCAGAGGGGGGUAGAAUUCCACGCGUAGCAGUGAAAUGCGUAGAGAUGUGGAGGAAUACCAAUGGCGAAGGCAGCCCCCUGGGAUAACACUGACGCUCAUGCACGAAAGCGUGGGGAGCAAACAGGAUUAGAUACCCUGGUAGUCCACGCCCUAAACGAUGCUGACUAGUUGUUCGGGAUUUACAUCCUGGGUAACGUAGCUAACGCGUGAAGUCAGCCGCCUGGGGAGUACGGUCGGCAGAUUAAAACUCCAAGGCAUUGACGGGGACCGGACAAGCGGUGGAUGAUGGUGG